Molecule: ribosomal RNA, 253 nt
Filed under: uncultured bacterium
Lineage: Bacteria
Description: partial 16S ribosomal RNA
Rfam family: Bacterial small subunit ribosomal RNA
Source: RNAcentral
UACGGAGGGUGCAAGCGUUAUCCGGAUUCACUGGGUUUAAAGGGUGCGUAGGCGGCGCGGUAAGUUGGGUGUGAAAUCUCGGAGCUUAACUCCGAAACUGCAUUCGAUACUGCCGUGCUUGAGGACUGGAGAGGAGACUGGAAUUUACGGUGUAGCGGUGAAAUGCGUAGAUAUCGUAAGGAAGACCAGUGGCGAAGGCGGGUCACUGGACUGUUCCUGACGCUGAGGCACGAAGGUGAGGGGAGCAAACGGG